UCGGAAGAAGGAGCUCCAUUAGCAAAAGCCGAAGCUUCUUCCGAGAUCCCAAUGGCGAUCCCAAUGGCGGCCUCAUCCUCCGUAGCUGCACCGGCGGUCACGCCGACUACAAGGAACUUCAUCCCAUAGGUCAUUACCGAAUCUUUCCUCUAUCGGCAAUACAUUUACUUUAGAUCUAUUUCUUACUUUCACUCCCCCUUUUUCCUUUUUUAGGCGG
This 217-nucleotide long non-coding RNA is filed under the name Setaria viridis. Its description in RNAcentral is "long non-coding RNA (SVIR_LNC001867)". Lineage: Eukaryota; Viridiplantae; Streptophyta; Magnoliopsida; Poales; Poaceae. The record is from RNAcentral.